Molecule: ribosomal RNA, 507 nt
Filed under: uncultured bacterium
Lineage: Bacteria
Description: bacterial SSU rRNA
Rfam family: Bacterial small subunit ribosomal RNA
Source: RNAcentral
CUCAGAUUGAACGCUGGCGGUAGGCCUAACACAUGCAAGUCGAGCGGAAACGACACUAACAAUCCUUCGGGUGCGUUAAUGGGCGUCGAGCGGCGGACGGGUGAGUAAUGCCUAGGAAAUUGCCUUGAUGUGGGGGAUAACCAUUGGAAACGAUGGCUAAUACCGCAUAAUGCCUACGGGGCCAAAGAGGGGGGACCUUCGGGCCUCUCGCGUCAAGAUAUGCCUAGGUGGGAUUAGCUAGUUGGUGAGGUAAUGGCUCACCAAGGCGACGAUCCCUAGCUGGUCUGAGAGGAUGAUCAGCCACACUGGAACUGAGACACGGUCCAGACUCCGUACGGGAGGCAGCGAGUGGGGAAUAUUGCACAAUGGGCGAAAGCCUGAUGCAGCCAUGCCGCGUGUAUGAAGAACGGUCCGUUCGGUUGUAAAGUACUUUCAGUUGUGGUAAGGUAAGGGGUAACGUUAAGUAGCGUUAUCUCUUGACGUUAAGCAACGAGAAGAACCGAGGUU